AACGCUGGCGGCAGGCUUAACACAUGCAAGUCGAGCGGGGAAGGUUGCUUCGGUAACUGACCUAGCGGCGGACGGGUGAGUAAUGCUUAGGAAUCUGCCAUUUAGUGGGGGACAACAUUCCGAAAGGAAUGCUAAUACCGCAUACGUCCUACGGGAGAAAGCAGGGGAUCUUCGGACCUUGCGCUAAAUGAUGAGCCUAAGUCGGAUUAGCUAGUUGGUGGGGUAAAGGCCUACCAAGGCGACGAUCUGUAGCGGGUCUGAGAGGAUGAUCCGCCACACUGGGACUGAGACACGGCCCAGACUCCUACGGGAGGCAGCAGUGGGGAAUAUUGGACAAUGGGCGCAAGCCUGAUCCAGCCAUGCCGCGUGUGUGAAGAAGGCCUUUUGGUUGUAAAGCACUUUAAGCGAGGAGGAGGCUACCUAGAUUAAUACUCUAGGAUAGUGGACGUUACUCGCAGAAUAAGCACCGGCUAACUCUGUGCCAGCAGCCGCGGUAAUACAGAGGGUGCGAGCGUUAAUCGGAUUUACUGGGCGUAAAGCGUGCGUAGGCGGCUUUUUAAGUCGGAUGUGAAAU
This 574-nucleotide ribosomal RNA is filed under the name Acinetobacter sp. 2293/04. RNAcentral's name for it is "bacterial SSU rRNA". It matches the Rfam family "Bacterial small subunit ribosomal RNA", at positions 32 to 600 of the family's 1533-position model. The record is from RNAcentral. Lineage: Bacteria; Pseudomonadati; Pseudomonadota; Gammaproteobacteria; Moraxellales; Moraxellaceae.